This 301-nucleotide ribosomal RNA is filed under the name uncultured bacterium. Its description in RNAcentral is "partial 16S ribosomal RNA". It matches the Rfam family "Bacterial small subunit ribosomal RNA", at positions 509 to 807 of the family's 1533-position model. The record is from RNAcentral.
CAGUCGCCGCGGUAAUACGUAGGUGGCAAGCGUUGUCCGGAAUUAUUGGGCGUAAAGGGCUCGCAGGCGGUUUCUUAAGUCUGAUGUGAAAGCCCCCGGCUCAACCGGGGAGGGUCAUUGGAAACUGGGAAACUUGAGUGCAGAAGAGGAGAGUGGAAUUCCACGUGUAGCGGUGAAAUGCGUAGAGAUGUGGAGGAACACCAGUGGCGAAGGCGACUCUCUGGUCUGUAACUGACGCUGAGGGGCGAAAGCGUGGGGAGCGAACAGGAUUAGAUACCCCCGUAGUCCCUGUCUCUUAUAC